RNAcentral lists this ribosomal RNA (253 nucleotides) under uncultured bacterium. Its description in RNAcentral is "partial 16S ribosomal RNA". It matches the Rfam family "Bacterial small subunit ribosomal RNA", at positions 524 to 776 of the family's 1533-position model. The record is from RNAcentral.
UACAGAGGGGGCAAGCGUUAUUCGGAAUUAUUGGGCGUAAAGGGCGCGUAGGCGGCCGUGCAAGUGGAAGGUGAAAUCCCUCGGCUCAACCGAGGAACUGCCUUUCAAACUGCAUGGCUUGAGUCCGGGAGAGGUGAGUGGAAUUCCCAGUGUAGCGGUGAAAUGCGUAGAUAUUGGGAGGAACACCAGUGGCGAAGGCGGCUCACUGGACCGGAACUGACGCUGAGGCGCGAAAGCUAGGGGAGCAAACAGG